AAACCGACACAGGUGGGUGAGGAGAGUAUCCUAAGGCCAGCGAGAGAACUGUUGUUAAGGAACUCGGCAAAAUGACCCCGUAACUUAGGGAUAAGGGGUGCCACCAUCAGGUGGCCGCAGAGAAUAGGCCCAAGCGACUGUUUACCAAAAACAUAGGUUUCUGCUAAGUCGCAAGACGAUGUAUAGGAGCUGACGCCUGCCCGGUGCUGGAAGGUUAAGGGGAUCUGUUAGAGCAAUCGAAGCAGUGAACUUAAGCCCCAGUAAACGGCGGCCGUAACUAUAACGGUCCUAAGGUAGCGAAAUUCCUUGUCGGGUUAGUUCCGACCAGCACGACAGGCGUAACGAUUUGGUCACUGUCUCAACAACAGACUCGGUGAAAUUGUAAUUCCGGUGAAGAUGCCGGAUACCUGCGACAGGACGGAAAGACCCCAUGGAGCUUUACUGUAGCUUGACAUUGGGUCUUGGUACUACAUGUACAGGAUAGGUGGGAGGCUUUGAAACCAGGACGCCAGUUUUGGCGGAGCCAUCCUUGGGAUACCACCCUUGUAGUACUGGGACUCUAACCAUAGGCCAUGAAUCUGGUCUUGGGACACUGUCAGGUGGGCAGUUUGACUGGGGCGGUCGCCUCCCAAAAGGUAACGGAGGCGCUCAAAGGUUCUCUCAGUACGGUCGGAAAUCGUACGUAGAGUGUAAAGGCAAAAGAGAGCUUGAUUGCAAGACAUACAGGUCGAGCAAGGAUGAAAAUCGGACUUAGUGAUCCGGUGGUUCUGCGUGGAAGGGCCAUCGCUCAACGGAUAAAAGCUACCCUGGGGAUAA
This 816-nucleotide ribosomal RNA is filed under the name Clostridioides difficile. RNAcentral's name for it is "bacterial LSU rRNA". It matches the Rfam family "Bacterial large subunit ribosomal RNA", at positions 1651 to 2477 of the family's 2925-position model. Lineage: Bacteria; Bacillati; Bacillota; Clostridia; Peptostreptococcales; Peptostreptococcaceae. The record is from RNAcentral.